GACGAACGCUGGCGGCGUGCUUAACACAUGCAAGUCGAACGGAAAGGCCCUGCUUUUGUGGGGUGCUCGAGUGGCGAACGGGUGAGUAACACGUGAGUAACCUGCCCUUGACUUUGGGAUAACUUCAGGAAACUGGGGCUAAUACCGGAUAGGAGCUCCUGCUGCAUGGUGGGGGUUGGAAAGUUUCGGCGGUUGGGGAUGGACUCGCGGCUUAUCAGCUUGUUGGUGGGGUAGUGGCUUACCGAGGCUUUGACGGGUAGCCGGCCUGAGAGGGUGACCGGCAACAUUGGGACUGAGAUACGGCCCAGACUCCUACGGGAGGAAGCAGUGGGGAAUAUUGCACAAUGGGCGGAAGCCUGAUGCAGCAACGCCGCGUGCGGGAUGACGGCCUUCGGGUUGUAAACCGCUUUCGCCUGUGACGAAGCGUGAGUGACGGUAAUGGGUAAAGAAGCACCGGCUAACUACGUG
This 468-nucleotide ribosomal RNA is filed under the name uncultured bacterium. Its description in RNAcentral is "partial 16S ribosomal RNA". It matches the Rfam family "Bacterial small subunit ribosomal RNA", at positions 28 to 507 of the family's 1533-position model. The record is from RNAcentral.